Molecule: ribosomal RNA, 542 nt
Filed under: Afipia sp. H6.8
Lineage: Bacteria; Pseudomonadati; Pseudomonadota; Alphaproteobacteria; Hyphomicrobiales; Nitrobacteraceae
Description: bacterial SSU rRNA
Rfam family: Bacterial small subunit ribosomal RNA
Source: RNAcentral
GGAAAGAUUUAUCGCCGAUAGAUCGGCCCGCGUCUGAUUAGCUAGUUGGUGAGGUAAUGGCUCACCAAGGCGACGAUCAGUAGCUGGUCUGAGAGGAUGAUCAGCCACACUGGGACUGAGACACGGCCCAGACUCCUACGGGAGGCAGCAGUGGGGAAUAUUGGACAAUGGGCGAAAGCCUGAUCCAGCCAUGCCGCGUGUGUGAUGAAGGCCUUAGGGUUGUAAAGCACUUUUGUCCGGGAAGAUAAUGACUGUACCGGAAGAAUAAGCCCCGGCUAACUUCGUGCCAGCAGCCGCGGUAAUACGAAGGGGGCUAGCGUUGCUCGGAAUCACUGGGCGUAAAGGGCGCGUAGGCGGACUCUUAAGUCGGGGGUGAAAGCCCAGGGCUCAACCCUGGAAUUGCCUUCGAUACUGAGAGUCUUGAGUUCGGAAGAGGUUGGUGGAACUGCGAGUGUAGAGGUGAAAUUCGUAGAUAUUCGCAAGAACACCAGUGGCGAAGGCGGCCAACUGGUCCGAUACUGACGCUGAGGCGCGAAAGCGUG